This 171-nucleotide unclassified non-coding RNA is filed under the name uncultured Pseudogymnoascus. RNAcentral describes it as "sequence contains ITS1". Lineage: Eukaryota; Fungi; Ascomycota; Leotiomycetes; Myxotrichaceae. The record is from RNAcentral.
AAGUUAUAGUCCCCUGGCCUUCUGGCUAGGGUCUUCUAUACCACCCUUUGUUUAUUACACCUUUGUUGCUUUGGCAGGCCUGCCCUCGGGCUGCUGGCUCCGGCCGGCGAGCGCCUGCCAGAGGACCUAAACUCUGAAUGUUAGUGUCGUCUGAGUACUAUACAAUAGUUA